RNAcentral lists this ribosomal RNA (440 nucleotides) under uncultured bacterium. Its description in RNAcentral is "partial 16S ribosomal RNA". It matches the Rfam family "Bacterial small subunit ribosomal RNA", at positions 338 to 795 of the family's 1533-position model. The record is from RNAcentral.
CCUACGGGUGGCUGCAGUAGGGAAUAUUGCUCAAUGGGGGAAACCCUGAAGCAGCAACGCCGCGUGGAGGAUGAAGGUUUUCUGAUUGUAAACUCCUUUUGUUAGAGAAGAUAAUGACGGUAUCUAACGAAUACUCACCGGCUAACUCCGUUCCAGCAGCCGCGGUAAUACGGAGGGUGCAAGCGUUACUCGGAAUCACUGGGCGUAAAGCGCGCGUAGGCGGGAUAGCAAGUCAGAUGUGAAAUCCUAUGGCUUAACCAUAGAACUGCAUUUGAAACUGUUAUUCUAGAGUAAGGGAGAGGUAGGUGGAAUUCUUGGUGUAGGGGUAAAAUCCGUAGAGAUCAAGAGGAAUACUCAUUGCGAAGGCAGCAUACCGGCGGCGAUCUGACGCUGAGGCACGAAAGCGUGGGUAUCGAACAGGAUUAGAUACCCUAGUAGUC